UUUUACAUUUAAUAAAAAUGGAUAACUGGGACACUGAAACAAGAAUUUGGAUUGUCCGCCGCUAUCACGCACUGGAGUCCGUAAUUUCGGUUCAAAGAGAGUAUAGGCGCACGUUUGGCGGCAAUCCUCCGAGCAGAUGGACCAUAAUGAGACCUGUAAACAAUUUUGCCGAGCAUGGGACAGUCAACAGAAGACCUUAUCAUCGAAACCGUUCAGUUCGAACGGAUGAAACAAUCGCUGCUGUAGCUGCUGCCAUACAAAACAAUCGUGUUUCGACAAGAAGCUUAUCUGCUCAAAUGGGUAACUAAUGUUGCAAACGCAGUCAAAAAUAAUGGUGACAUUGGAGGCUAUGCGUUCUAAUAUGUUGGAGCCAAAAGGGGAGCUCCCUGUAGGUUCUGAAGAACAGCUCGCCGCUUUGGACGAAAAAGUCAAGGAGUCUCCCGAAAAAUACAAGCCACCAGGUCUGACGGCUCUAGUUUCAAGGACCACACCAAAAAUGUCCGUAAAGCGCUCCAAAAGGCAAGGAACAGGGCCUACAAGGAUGACAAAAAAAAAUAACCAAAAAGGACUAAAAUAAUUUUUAGUUGCCAAAAGUUCCUUAAUAGUCUUUAAUUUUUGAUGUAGAUUAAAAA
Molecule: long non-coding RNA, 632 nt
Organism: Drosophila subpulchrella
Lineage: Eukaryota; Metazoa; Arthropoda; Insecta; Diptera; Drosophilidae
Exons: 3
Source: RefSeq, a predicted model, not a curated record